This 493-nucleotide ribosomal RNA is filed under the name uncultured bacterium. RNAcentral's name for it is "partial 16S ribosomal RNA". It matches the Rfam family "Bacterial small subunit ribosomal RNA", at positions 30 to 523 of the family's 1533-position model. The record is from RNAcentral.
AUUGAACGCUGGCGGCAUGCCUUACACAUGCAAGUCGAACGGUAACAGGUUAAGCUGACGAGUGGCGAACGGGUGAGUAAUGUAUCGGAACGUGCCCAGUCGUGGGGGAUAACGUAGCGAAAGCUACGCUAAUACCGCAUACGAUCUACGGAUGAAAGCGGGGGAUCGCAAGACCUCGCGCGAUUGGAGCGGCCGAUAUCAGAUUAGGUUGUUGGAGAGGUAAAAGCUCACCAAGCCUGCGAUCUGUAGCUGGUCUGAGAGGACGACUAGCCACACUGGAACUGAGACACGGUCCAGACUCCUACGGGAGGCAGCAGUGGGGAAUUUUGGACAAUGGACGCAAGUCUGAUCCAGCAAUGCCGCGUGCAGGACGAAGGCCUUCGGGUUGUGAACUGCUUUUGUACGGAACGAAACGGUGAGCUCUAAUACAGUUUGCUAAUGACGGUACCGUAAGAAUAAGCACCGGCUAACUACGUGCCAGCCGCCGCAGUAA